This 260-nucleotide long non-coding RNA is filed under the name Panax ginseng (ginseng). RNAcentral's name for it is "long non-coding RNA (PGIN_LNC009346)". Lineage: Eukaryota; Viridiplantae; Streptophyta; Magnoliopsida; Apiales; Araliaceae. The record is from RNAcentral.
CCAUUUCAUUUCCAGCACCACCACCUCACCACCGCAGCUCGUUCUCUCUCCUUCGCCGCCACCGCCUCCGCCACAGACCUUUUCAUCGCCCACCCCUCACACCACCACCUCUCCGCCAUAAAAUCCAAAGGCCAACUCCUUAAAUCCUACACAAUCACUCCCCUAAUAAAACCCUGGCCCCAAAAGCUCCAAAUCUGUGACCACGUCGGCAAAUUAUCUUGGUUCGUGGAGCAAAGGACGUUUUGGAAUGUGUUUAGGAG